This 253-nucleotide ribosomal RNA is filed under the name uncultured bacterium. RNAcentral's name for it is "partial 16S ribosomal RNA". It matches the Rfam family "Bacterial small subunit ribosomal RNA", at positions 524 to 776 of the family's 1533-position model. The record is from RNAcentral.
UACGUAGGCAGCAAGCGUUGUUCGGAGUUACUGGGCGUAAAGGGUGUGUAGGCGGUUGCUUAAGUUUGGUGUGAAAUCUCCCGGCUCAACUGGGAGGGUGCGCCGAAUACUGAGUGACUCGAGUGCGGGAGAGGAAGGUGGAAUUCCUGGUGUAGCGGUGAAAUGCGUAGAUAUCAGGAGGAACACCGGUGGUGUAGACGGCUUUCUGGACCGUAACUGACGCUGAAACACGAAAGCGUGGGUAGCAAACAGG